RNAcentral lists this long non-coding RNA (514 nucleotides) under Macaca mulatta (Rhesus monkey). Its description in RNAcentral is "lncRNA (ENSMMUG00000038677.2)". The record is from RNAcentral. Lineage: Eukaryota; Metazoa; Chordata; Mammalia; Primates; Cercopithecidae.
AAACGCCAACUCAUCCAUGCCCUCUGUGCGGUCUCAGCCUGCUGAAAUCACCUGCACCCCAUGGGAACUGUAGCCGUAUCUUCAGUCCUGGGAGCCUCCGCAUGCCCUGUCACAGGAGUAAAUGAGGAGUAAGGCCCAGAAUACUCAGUACCUCUUAAUGACCCUCAGACGAUGUAGGAAGGAGAUUGGUUCACCUUUUAAGCCAGAAUUUCUCACGUUUAAUGAUCAGGAAGAGGAGGAGCAAAUGAGGAUGGAGACGGACUUUGCAGAAUGGAAGAGAGGCAAAGACAUGAUUAGAAACAAUCUACAUAAUGAGGAGUCACUUUUGGGAGUUAUUUUAAGGCAGAGUAUCACAUCGCAUCAAAACAGCUCCGUCUCCUGCCACUCCACGUGCAAUGCCAUGAACUUAAAUAAAUUGCUGGUAAGAGGACGCAAAUGCUGUGACCAGGCAACUGCUGCAAACCAAUGGGCUUUGGGGAACUGUGCUUCCCUUCAGAAAGGAAAGAGUAUUUGA